CCGCCGUGGGUCAGGCCCGGCUCUCGGGCGGCCGGGUUGGUUCCUCGGCCUUGUCGAGCAGGCGUUCGAAGGCGGCGGCGGCGGC
This 85-nucleotide transfer RNA is filed under the name mine drainage metagenome. RNAcentral's name for it is "tRNA-Pro". The record is from RNAcentral.